AAACGCUUUAGUAACUAUCAUUCUGCGAGUCACGGAACAUAGUUUACGUCGUGUUGAAAUUCCGCGGGCAUCAGUUUAUGCAUUGUAUCUUCGAUAAACUGGUUCUGCCUAUAUAUCCUAUGUAUAAUGCUCGUAAUAUCAUUUGCAUUUUGACCUAUUCAUCGAAGUUCAUCGUUCCGACAAUCGUGCAGAUUCGUGCAUUACACGCAACGAUCCUCAUUAGGUGAUACGCCGACACGAGUGUAGAGCGUUGGAAUAGUUAACUGCGAAUUAUCCAAUAUGUAGGAUGCCCUUGUCGUAAUCUCUCUCAUAAAUGUCACCCUUGAACACGGGCUGGCCGUUUGCAGCGUUCGUCCCAAGAUCGGUAUUUCCUCCAGCUGGUUUUCUCUCCGUAACCCGUCUGAUCCAUAGAUUCGUCAAUAACAAUCAUUGCAACUUAACACACGUCAGUUGUCGCUAAUGUCGUUUGCCUACUCCCUCGCGAUACUCUCUCAUUAAGCUCGUUAGAAGCCACCUCC
This 518-nucleotide unclassified non-coding RNA is filed under the name Bombus terrestris (buff-tailed bumblebee). Its description in RNAcentral is "misc RNA ENSBTSG00005030316.1". The record is from RNAcentral. Lineage: Eukaryota; Metazoa; Arthropoda; Insecta; Hymenoptera; Apidae.